RNAcentral lists this ribosomal RNA (421 nucleotides) under Mycobacteriaceae bacterium Ellin7061. RNAcentral describes it as "bacterial SSU rRNA". It matches the Rfam family "Bacterial small subunit ribosomal RNA", at positions 28 to 451 of the family's 1533-position model. Lineage: Bacteria; Bacillati; Actinomycetota; Actinomycetes; Mycobacteriales; Mycobacteriaceae. The record is from RNAcentral.
GACGAACGCUGGCGGCGUGCUUAACACAUGCAAGUCGAACGGAAAGGCCUCUUCGGAGGUACUCGAGUGGCGAACGGGUGAGUAACACGUGGGCAAUCUGCCCUGCACUUCGGGAUAAGCCUGGGAAACUGGGUCUAAUACCGGAUAGGACCUUAAGACGCAUGUCUUUUGGUGGAAAGCUUUUGCGGUGUGGGAUGGGCCCGCGGCCUAUCAGCUUGUUGGUGGGGUGACGGCCUACCAAGGCGACGACGGGUAGCCGGCCUGAGAGGGUGUCCGGCCACACUGGGACUGAGAUACGGCCCAGACUCCUACGGGAGGCAGCAGUGGGGAAUAUUGCACAAUGGGCGCAAGCCUGAUGCAGCGACGCCGCGUGGGGGAUGACGGCCUUCGGGUUGUAAACCUCUUUCACCAUCGACGAAGG